Molecule: ribosomal RNA, 512 nt
Filed under: uncultured Glomus
Lineage: Eukaryota; Fungi; Glomeromycota; Glomeromycetes; Glomerales; Glomeraceae
Description: SSU rRNA
Rfam family: Eukaryotic small subunit ribosomal RNA
Source: RNAcentral
AGCAGCCGCGGUAAUUCCAGCUCCAAUAGCGUAUAUUAAAGUUGUUGCAGUUAAAAAGCUCGUAGUUGAAUUUCGGGGUCGGUAGGUUGGUCAUGCCUCUGGUAUGCACUGGUCUCACUGAUUCCUCCUUCCUGAUGAGCCGUAAUGCCAUUAAUUUGGUGUUGCGAGGAAUCUGGACUGUUACUUUGAAAAAAUUAGAGUGUUUAAAAGCAAGCUGACGCUCGAAUACAUUAGCAUGGAAUAAUGGAAUAGGACGUUCGAUCCUAUUUUGUUGGUUUCUAGGAUUGACGUAAUGAUUAAUAGGGAUAGUUGGGGGCAUUAGUAUUCAAUUGUCAGAGGUGAAAUUCUUGGAUUUAUUGAAGACUAACUACUGCGAAAGCAUUUGCCAAGGAUGUUUUCAUUAAUCAAGAACGAAAGUUAGGGGAUCGAAGACGAUCAGAUACCGUCGUAGUCUUAACCAUAAACUAUGCCGACUAGGGAUCGGAUUGAUGUUAAUUUUUAAUGACUCAUUC